UACGAAGGGGGCUAGCGUUGCUCGGAAUCACUGGGCGUAAAGCGCACGUAGGCGGCUUCUUAAGUCAGGGGUGAAAUCCUGGAGCUCAACUCCAGAACUGCCUUUGAUACUGAGGAGCUUGAGUCCGGGAGAGGUGAGUGGAACUGCGAGUGUAGAGGUGAAAUUCGUGGAUAUUCGCAAGAACACCAGUGGCGAAGGCGGCUCACUGGCUCGGUACUGACGCUGAGGUGCGAAAGCGUGGGGAGCAAACAGG
RNAcentral lists this ribosomal RNA (253 nucleotides) under uncultured bacterium. Its description in RNAcentral is "partial 16S ribosomal RNA". It matches the Rfam family "Bacterial small subunit ribosomal RNA", at positions 524 to 776 of the family's 1533-position model. The record is from RNAcentral.